RNAcentral lists this ribosomal RNA (1233 nucleotides) under Triticum aestivum (bread wheat). RNAcentral's name for it is "partial small subunit ribosomal RNA". The record is from RNAcentral. Lineage: Eukaryota; Viridiplantae; Streptophyta; Magnoliopsida; Poales; Poaceae.
AUGAUCAUGAAAGGGUCACCCUCUGCCUAUUAAAUCCAUUGUUUUGCACAUCAACAUCAGUUGGUUCUUAUAGCUGUGGCAAAGGACAAUGAACCAUGUUUGUGGUUCUUUGAUCAUGUCUCUUACUUUCUCAAUAUUGUUGGAGUUUCUUGUAUGCGCCAUGGCAUGCUUCGAGAUGUUAGAGCUCAAAAGGUGUUGGAAGCACUUGAAAUGGGUGAGAUUGAAAGUGGAAGUGGGCUAAAUCAGGAGAUGGGACUAGCUAGACCCGGCGACACUCAUUGGGGUUCUUAUUUUAAAACCAUUAUGCACAUUGUUAGCAUGUAUUCCACAAUCCUUGAAGUACUUGAUGCUAUUGGAAAAGAUCCUUCACAAAAAAGUGAGUGGACAAGAAUAUGUGGAGUUGCUCAAGCCUUUGAAUCAUUUGACUUUGUUUUCAAUCUUCACUUGAUGCUUGUUAUUCUUGGCUAUACAAAUGAGUUGUCCAAAUCUUUGCAAAAGAGAGAUCAAGAUAUUGUCAAUGCAAUGACACUUGUUAGUUUGGCAAAGAGUAGAAUGCAACACAUGAGGUCUCAUGGUUGGGAAGAUUUUCUUGCAAAGCUAACCUUAUUUUGCAACAAACAUGACAUUCAAGUUCCUUUGUGGGAGGAUAUUUAUGAGCCUAAUCGAAGAUCACGUCAGUAUUAUGAAGUACAAACAAAUGAUGAUCGUUAUGGAAGAGAAGUAUAUCUUGGUGUCAUUGAUCAAACCAUUCAACAGCUUGACAAUCGGUUUGAUGAGGUUAAUACGGAGUUGCUUAUUUGCAUGUCGGCUUUGAAUCCCCUCAAUUCAUUUGCUUCUUAUGAUGCACUCAAGGUAAUGAGACUUGCUGAAUUCUAUCCCAUGGACAUUUCAAGCACAUAUUUGAUAAGGCUAGAAUUUCAACUUACUAAUUUUAUUGAUGAUAUGAGACAAGAUGAUAGGUUUAGAAAUGCAAGUAAUAUUGGUGAGCUCUCUAUUAUGCUUGUUGCAACAAAGAAGCAUGUUCUUUAUGAUUUGGUCUACUUACUCAUCAAAUUGAUAUUGAUUUUAUCGGUGGCGACGGCGAGUGUUGAAAGAGUGUUUUCAGCAAUGAAUCUAGUGAAAAAUAAGUUGAGGACUACUAUGAGUGAUGAUCGCUUGAAUGAUUGCUUGGUGUUCAUGCAAGUAAGCGAAGAUGACAUAGUUGAUGCUUUCAUGGGCAAUGCAAAAAUGUAG